AAGUCGUAACAAGGUUUCCGUAGGUGAACCUGCGGAAGGAUCAUUAAAAAAUCGUUUGAGCCGCAAGGCUCUAUUAUUUUGUGCACCGUUUGUGGGACUUGAAGGGACUGCCAAUGGCACGUGCUGUGUUGUGACAGUUACUACUAGCCCACUAAUUAUUAUAAACAUAUGUUUUUGACGUUGAGGAAUACAAUUACAUCUGUAAUAUAUAUACAACUUUCAACAGUGGAUCUCUCGGCUCUU
This 243-nucleotide unclassified non-coding RNA is filed under the name fungal sp. RNAcentral describes it as "partial internal transcribed spacer region". The stretch from base 1 to 46 matches the Rfam family "Eukaryotic small subunit ribosomal RNA", at positions 1786 to 1831 of the family's 1831-position model. Lineage: Eukaryota; Fungi. The record is from RNAcentral.